This 360-nucleotide unclassified non-coding RNA is filed under the name soil metagenome. RNAcentral describes it as "partial contains 5.8S ribosomal RNA, internal transcribed spacer 2, and large subunit ribosomal RNA". The stretch from base 1 to 120 matches the Rfam family "5.8S ribosomal RNA", at positions 35 to 154 of the family's 154-position model. The record is from RNAcentral.
GAUGAAGAACGUAGCGAAAUGCGAUAAGUAAUGUGAAUUGCAGAAUUCCGUGAAUCAUCGAAUCUUUGAACGCACAUUGCGCCCGCCAGUAUUCUGGCGGGCAUGCCUGUCUGAGCGUCGUUUCGACCCUCGCGCCCGGCUUCUGUCGGGGGCGGUGUUGGGGAUCGGCCACACCCUUCAGUGGGAGGCCGGCCCCUAAAUUCAGUGGCGACCACGCUGUAGCCUCCCCUGCGUAGUACUAAAACCACCUCGCAGGCGGAGAGCGGUGCGGCCCGCCGUAAAACCCCCCAACUUUUACAAGGUCGACCUCAGAUCAGGUAGGAAUACCCGCUGAACAUAAGCAUAUCAAUAAGCGGAGGA